AAAUCGUUGUCCCAAUCAUUCAAUCGCAGCCAUCCGAUCAUCAUUAAUCCGUACAACAAUUGAGCUCCCAAAAGUCCGGUCGAACCCGAUUAAGGUCCGAGCGAACCCAAUUUUAGUUUGGAAGAACACCGUUGAGUUGGCAGUGUGAAUUGCUGUUGCGAUGGUGCUUGAUAUUUUUGCUGGUUAUGCGAAGGUGGAUGAAGGGGCUGCGUUGGUGCAGCAGUGGUGGCUGGCGACUAGGAGUGGUGUUGUUAGUGUGGUGAUGGUUAAGAAGGUAGUGGUGUAGGAUAGGAAAAGGCAGGAGGAAGCUGACAACUUCUGUUCUUUAAGCAAUUGACUUUUCUUGACUGGCCUUUGAAGCUUGUAUUCCAUCCCCGAACAACAUGUCCCUACACAAAAUAAAAAUAGAGAAUAGGAGAGAAACAAGAAAUAGAAAAGUAAAACAAAUAAUAAUAAUAAUAAUAAUAAUAA
Molecule: long non-coding RNA, 471 nt
Organism: Spinacia oleracea (spinach)
Lineage: Eukaryota; Viridiplantae; Streptophyta; Magnoliopsida; Caryophyllales; Amaranthaceae
Exons: 2
Source: RefSeq, a predicted model, not a curated record